RNAcentral lists this ribosomal RNA (460 nucleotides) under uncultured bacterium. Its description in RNAcentral is "partial 16S ribosomal RNA". It matches the Rfam family "Bacterial small subunit ribosomal RNA", at positions 338 to 795 of the family's 1533-position model. The record is from RNAcentral.
CCUACGGGGGGCAGCAGUGAGGAAUAUUGGUCAAUGGGCGGGAGCCUGAACCAGCCAAGUCGCGUGAGGGACGACGGUCCUAUGGAUUGUAAACCUCUUUUGUCGGGGAACAAAGGCGCCCACGGGUGGGCGGAUGAGUGUACCCGAAGAAAAAGCAUCGGCUAACUCCGUGCCAGCAGCCGCGGUAAUACGGAGGAUGCGAGCGUUAUCCGGAUUUAUUGGGUGUAAAGGGCGUGUAGGCGGGACGGCAAGUCAGAUGUGAAAACCACGGGCUCAACCUGUGGCCUGCAUUUGAAACUGUAGUUCUUGAGUACUGGAGAGGCAGACGGAAUUCCUAGUGUAGCGGUGAAAUGCGUAGAUAUGAGGAGGAACACCAGUGGCGAAGGCGGUCUGCUGGACAGCAACUGACGCUGAGGCGCGAAAGCGUGGGGAGCAAACAGGAUUAGAUACCCGGGUAGUC